AAAAGUAGCGUUAUAUCCACAGCCAUGUCUGCGACAAACGGGUGGAGGGGGACCCAUGGGGCUCCUGUAAACAAAUUGACACGUCACCCGGACAUGACGCAAUCACAGCGCGACGACGGUCUCAUUCAGCUGGAAGGACUGAAAGGCUUAACAUCUCAAGGUUUUCCGCAUAACUACAAAUUAUAGCGUGUUUAGGACAUCAUAUUUUAGACUCUGUAGGUGUAUAUACCCUAAUGAAGAUACACUAUAUGUAUAUUAAUUUUCGAGUUGCUUACAUUUUGUAAAUCUGUGUGAUACAAUGAUAGAGUGUGACAGGUCUUCACUUUAGUAAAUCAAGUUAAAAUCGCGACUUAAUUGGACUGAUUUAUACUUUUCUAUGCAGCAUUCCUGUAAUUUACUGUAAUUCUAAAAUAUAUCAAAAUAAUCAUGCCACUCCAACUUGAAGCAAUGUCAAGCAGGAAGCGCAGACCCAAUUGGACAGACCAGGAGUGUUAUCUUCUUGCUCAGCUAGUCCACGAAAGAAAAGAAGUCAUCAGAGGAAAGUGCAUCACUGGCUUGUAUGAUAAAAGGCAAGCCUGGGACGAGAUAACCCACACCAUCAACUCAGCCUUUCCACAGAUGCAGCGAACAGUGUCUGACUGCAGCAAAAAGUGGGAAAAUCUCCUGGCAAAGUCAAGGGAAGAGAUUAAGCGACAGAAGAUGCAAACAGGUACAGAUGAUAAUCUGUCCCUGGAUCAGUUCAGUGCUUUGACCCAGAUUGUGAUUUCUGUGAUGAACCCUUCAGUACUUCAACAAGAUGAAGAAGACUCUCAACCCUUUGAGUUGGUUGAAAGUCAACAAAACAGUGGCACUAAAGAUGGAAACAUGUUCACUGGUGAACAAUUUAAAGGUAAACAUGAGCAAGCAGAUCUUGUGCUCCCUGCCUAUGCUGCAGAUCCAUCCACGACUGCACCUGGACAAAAAAUGACCCCUUUUUCUAACAUUCCUAAACAACUCCCAGUGCAUUUUGCUGCCUCUGGAGAACAGUCACAUUCCCACUGCUUUCCUUGCACACAUGCAGCACACUGCACCACUUCACAAGCAAGAAUGGAUUUGGAAAUGUCUGUUCUAAGAAGACAGGAGGCAGUCCUCAAGCUUCAGGAGGAGUAUUAUACAUUAAAAAUUCAGCAGAUGAAGAAGCAAAUGGCAUAAUCUCCUCUACAGGACUGAAGUGUUUCUACCUGCUGCAUCUGCUUGUGGCUGGAGCACUUUGAUUCAUUUGUUUGUGGUUGGACUAGGCUGCAACUCAUGAUUAAUUUAAUAAUCAAUCUGUCGAUUAGUUUUUCAAUUAAUUGAUGAAUCUGGCAUGUAUAUUUUUUAAAUUUCCAUCCCUUUAUUCAAAAGCAGGAUAAUAUUUCUAAUUAACAGUGAAGAAAAUGCUUAAACAUACAUUUAGCAUGAUUCAGUUACUGGUUUGAUCCGUAACAUCCGUCAGAAAAUAGGCACAAAUCUUGAUCAUUGUUUUCCAAAUUAAAAGGAGAUGUUUGCAAAUGUUUUAUUUUGAUUAAAGUAGGGGACUUUAAUGCAUUCAUCAUGCAUUCUUCAUGAUUAAUUAAUCACCAGCCUUUUGAGUUCCAAAACAAUGUGGAACCUUUGUCACAGCAUGAUUUCCUGCUACACCGAUUACACUGAGAGCUCGGCUACCAAAAUGUAGGAAUUGGAUGAAACAUUGUUGCUUGGACUGAUGGGAGGCAAAUUUAAUAAUAAUCAAAAUCAAAAUCAUCUUUAUUUGCCAAGUAUGUCCAAAAAACACACAAGGAAUUUGUCUCCGGUAAUUGGAGCCGCUCUAGUAUGACAACAGACAGUCAACUGACAAAGAACACUUUUGAGACAUAAAGACAUUGAGAAAAACAGUCACUGAGCAAUAAAGGAUUGCUAGUUAUCUGGUAAUGCCGGUACAUUUUUUGUUUUGGGUUGUUUUGACAAUUGUGCAAAAAGAUGCAGGGUCCUCUAGCACUUAGAGCAGUUCGAAUGACUAAUAUUACAUUAGUCCGGUGCAAUGACCAUUGUGCAAAGGGCGCCGAGACUUCAAGCGAGUAGUACGAUAGUCUGGGACAAUGUCGAUUUUGCAAAUGUUGCAGAUACUCCUCAGUCAGUGUGCAAAUGGAGCAGAUGCUACUCUGGCAUGAGUGGCCAGUAUUGGUCAACAACAGAUACGCAAAUAGUGCAGCGUGGUGAGACUACUACAGUGAGCGCACAAGUAAUAUACAAUUGGCCCGACAAAAAUGUGACAACAAACUCAAGACAAAAAAUUGCCAGCAUGUUGCAAUGGAAUUGUAGGUUAGGUGUUUAAGAAGUUGAUUGCAAGAGGGAAGAAGCUCUUUGAUGGCAAUACUGUUCUUAAAAAAAAAAAAAAAAAAAAAAAAAACUGUCCUAAAAUGACACUUUAACUUUAGGUCUGUUUAAUUUUGGCUAGGGAUAUUUUCUUAGUUUUUCUACUGUUUUGUAUUGAAAUGCAAUUAAAUGCCAGAGUUAAGAAUAUUCCUGUUUGUGUCAAUUAUUCGAUACAGUAGUCCACUAAACUCCAUUUAAAUCGUGUUGCUUUUUAGGACAAAUAUUGUUAUAUGAUUAAGAUGUGAUUGAUUGAAAUUAAUCAAUUAUAAAGCCUCUCAUUAAUUAAUAAAUUAUUACUAAUUACAUUUGAUUGCAUUUUGAUUACUUUUCUUAAUUUUGAAUGAAUGCAUUAACAGGACCCUUGGAUGUUUCUUUGAAAAAAAUGAAUGAAACCCAUAGUCCAUUAUUUUGUAAUUUACUAAAUAUAUGUUCUUUACAGGCGUCACGGUAGACGACUGGUUAGCACAUCUGCCUCACAGUUUUGAGGACCAGGGUUCAAAUCCCGGCUCCCCCUGUGUGGCGUUUGCAUGUUCACCCCGUGCCUGCGUGGGUUUUCUCCGGGCACUCCGGUUUCGUCCCACAUCCCAAAAACAUGCAUGGUAGGUUGAUUGGAAACUCGAAAUUGCCCGUAGGUGUGAAUGUGUGCGUGAAUGGUUGUUUGUUUAUAUGUGCCCUGCGAUUGGUUGGCGACCAGUUCAGGGUGUACCCCGCCUCUCGCCCGAAGAUAGAUGGGAUAGGCUCCAGCACGCCCGUGACCCGUGUGAGGAUAAAGCGGUAAAGAAAAUGAAACAUUUAAUGUUCUUUCCACAAAUAAUAAACUGAUAACAAAAAAUGAAAUGUAAAUGAAUAAUAACAAACAUGUUUGUUGCAUUAUGUGUAAAACAUGAUACCAUGUUCCCCUAAUGACAAAUAUGGACAAUCUAGACUAUAGUGCUUCAUACCCAGAUAAGUGAAUGUUCCAUUAAAAAGUCCAAAAUUAUAAAGAUCAAACUGUUCAAAAGCCCAUGUUCUUUUAUGUGCUCAAAAGUGUAACUAUGAGCAAACCUAUGGAUUGCACUACAAGAUCAUAUUUGGUAAAAUAUGUUUAAGACUAUGGCAGAAUGGCACAUGACCAGAGAGAGCCAAUCACAAGCAUGGGUUUUAGCAGGAGGAAGUAAUAUAUACAAAAAAAUAAUAAUCUGAGUUUUUGCAGCUCUUUUUAAAAUUGAACUAAAAUUGUAAUCAUGGACUUUUCCAAAGCAACUGUAAUUUAAUUACACAUGAUCUCGCAGUAAUGUGUUGAAUUACAAUUACAUAAUUGUUUUAAUUAAAUGUUAUUAUUUACUCCCAACACUGUGUAAUUCAUAUUUUGCCUCUGAGAAUACAGUGAACACUUGCUGUUUGCAGGUUUUAAGGACCCAGCGAAAAUGAUUGAUGCCCCCCCCACCCCCUUUAAUGUUUACAAUUGCCUAUAUUAGUAAUUUAGACCCUAAAUAUACCCCCAACUUUGGUUCCCAGACACUAACAGAAUUUCAAAAUCAUUUUGCAACAUUACCCUUAAAAAUAAAUGGCUUAUGAGUUGAGUUUGAAAGACUUGCACUGCUGCGAGGACACUGGCUUGUACUUUACUGCUUUGCAAUGACGAAUUACUACUUUCCUGUUAGCCAUUUUUUAUAUAUAUGUUUGACUCAGUGAUACAGUAGAUACUCUAAUUUUUUUAAAUACUGUACAGACUGUAUAUGGCAAACAAGCCUUUAUGUUUAGUCGCGCACUUCCGUUGAGAAGCUAUGUAGUCUUUACCAAUGGAUCAAAUGUUAACUUCCACCGUUGCCUGCAUCAUCCUGACAAGCUCACCGCACUCCUUUUUCUGACGUCAGCCCCACAACAAGUCUCGACUGUCUGUUGGACCGUUACUGGAGUCUUCCAUCACGCUGCUGUUCACUAUCAAGCUAUCAUCUGUUGGCUAUAACUACUACAGGGUGUUUGGGCAAGAUGGUAGCAAGAAUAAAUGAGUUUUAAGUAAAUAUUGGUUUGUUAGGUUCUAGAGAAAAAUUUACAAGCAUGAUUUCACAAAUGCCGAAUCUCGCAUUGGCAGCGAUUCAUCCUAGUUUGCUGCUUAGCUUCAUGUAGACAUCAGUAAGAUUUGAACACUGCUAUGGUCUUGUUUUAAAGUGUUCUACAGAAGUGCAGAUCUUUUACAAACAUUAUACAAGCGUUCCACUUCACUGACUGAACCUUAGUCUAUUUAGAACUAUUAAUACUGGCAGAAAGUAUUCAUUGACAUUCAGGAGACUUCCCCUAAAACUUAGAUUUUAUUUUUUACGUGGAAACAUUUUUACUAUAUUUUAUAACCCCAAGGUACUCCAUUUGAUUCAACAGUUUUUUUUAGACAGGUUUGCCCAUUAUCGAGUUUGCUAAGUGUAUAGUUUAUACACUGAACAAAAAUAUAAAUGCACAUUUUUCCUCUUUAAUUUUUUCAUAAACUGAACUCAAAGAUCUGACUAUUGCUUCAUACACAGAAGGCCAAUUUCUGUCAAAUAUUAUUCAUAAAUCAGAUGUGUGAAAGAUCAAUUCUCCUUUUCCGUGAUAAUCCAUCCUAGCUCACAGAUUUGUCAUAUGAAGAUGCUGAUUACUGAACAGGUGUGCCAUAGGUUUCCCACAAUAAAGGGUCUGUCUUAAAUGUGCAAUUUCAUUGGAUUGGAGGGGUCCGAGGUAGUUUAAAAAACAAUUGCACUGUGUUAGGCAAAUGAUGGUCACACCAAAUACUGACUUGUUUUCUGACCCCACCGUACCCCCAAUACAGUAAAACCUCACAUUUUAGCGUGGCCUUUUUUUUUUUUUUGGCAGCCCAAGGCACACCUGUGCAAUACAUGUGUUGCAGUGUGUGAGGCAAAUCGUCAUAUUAGAUACUGACUGGUUUUCUUGUAGUCAUGCCAAUCAAGUGUUUAUGUUAACUUUUUAGACAACUGUUAAAUAGAUUUUUUACUUGCUGUCCGCAACCCACCCAAAACUUGUGGCUCAUGACCACCACUAGUUCAGGAUCCCACUGCAGAGAACAUAGGUAAAAAAAAAAAAGUACUUAUGUAGGAAGGGAAUUAGCACAAUAAAAUGCCUUUAUGAACUCAAAAUUGUAAUUCUGUUUGGGGAUUUGACAUGGGUAUUAUAAUAAUAAAACUCCACCAAUAAUUUGUCAUCAGAAACAGACAUUUUAUAAUAUGAUUUAUUAAACUGCAUAAUUCAAUCUGCCAUAUAAUUAUCACAGAAAUCUAAAUUUUUGUCCAAAAUAUAGUUCUAUUUGGAUAUUGCCCCAAGUGGUCAGAAUGCAUUUUUGUUGCAUACCAAAGGUUGGUAGAUCCUGUUUGUUGUUAACACCUAAUAAUUGGUCAUUGAGUCAAGGGAAAUGUCAUGCAUAGUCACUGGCUUUGAUUGGCCAACACUUUUUAUCAAGAAAUUGCACCCAAAGAUGAACCAGUUCACAAUUCUCCUCUUGGCUGAUUUCUUUUCACUUUGUCAUGAGAUUACACAAAGAAGCAGUGGGUUUCAGAUGUGUCUCUAAUUUACUCAAAUGUUGUUAAUAAACCUGUCAGACACUUCCAAAGAAAUGACACCAUCAUCUGGCUUUUCAAAUUGUUUAAAGGCAUAGUAAGCUUACUGUAUGUAAACUUCUGACUUGAAGAAAGUAAUGAAAAAUUGUCUUAAAUAUUCUUCUCUCAUUAUUCUGGCAUUUUGCAAAUAGAAAUAAUUUUGCCCAUCCUAACAGGAUUAGUUUAGUCUGAUUUCCUGUCAGACCAUGACUUUUUUACAGUGCAUGUAAACAUUUGUUUUCAACUGUAAACAUUUGGAAAAUAUGGCACGGAAAAUAUUUAGAUUGAUCUUAAUACCUCAAAAUUCAUAAGCUAUUUCGAGUUUUAACUUAUUGCGAUUUAUUGUCCCCCUAUAUAGCAGCAUAUUACUUUUCUAAUGAGGUCUACUUACAAAGUAAUUUUUUCAAUGAUGAUUUACAUGUGCCUAUCUUGAACAGGAAAGGCAACCGGUGUGUUUUUCUCUGUGAGACAUUUGGUUUCAUGCUGAUUCAUAGCAUUUACUCUAUAGUGCAAAUUUGGACGCACUAAAUGUUAAACUUGCAGUACCCCAAUAUGAAAACUGUUCAUGCCAAUGUAAAUAGAACUGAAAUAAUUUCCGGUCUAGACAAAUAUGUUGUAAUUUGUGCCUAAUAUUUCUCAUAAAUCAGUGUAUGAG
Long non-coding RNA from Phyllopteryx taeniolatus (common seadragon), 6591 nucleotides. RefSeq lists it as uncharacterized. The transcript has 3 exons. The record is from RefSeq and is a predicted model, not a curated record. NCBI's taxonomy places the organism in Eukaryota, Metazoa, Chordata, Actinopteri, Syngnathiformes, Syngnathidae.